This 155-nucleotide ribosomal RNA is filed under the name Enterovibrio norvegicus. RNAcentral describes it as "partial 23S ribosomal RNA". The stretch from base 1 to 134 matches the Rfam family "Bacterial large subunit ribosomal RNA", at positions 2797 to 2925 of the family's 2925-position model. Lineage: Bacteria; Pseudomonadati; Pseudomonadota; Gammaproteobacteria; Vibrionales; Vibrionaceae. The record is from RNAcentral. RNAcentral also lists the same sequence under 1 other name.
CCUCAAGAUGAGUCAUCCCUAGACCUUUAAGGUCUCUAAAGGGUUGUUGAAGACUACGACGUAGAUAGGCAGGGUGUGUAAGUGCUGCGAGGCAUUGAGCUAACCUGUACUAAUUGCCCGUGAGGCUUAACCAUACAACACCCAAGGGGUUUUAG